This 451-nucleotide ribosomal RNA is filed under the name uncultured bacterium. Its description in RNAcentral is "bacterial SSU rRNA". It matches the Rfam family "Bacterial small subunit ribosomal RNA", at positions 328 to 793 of the family's 1533-position model. The record is from RNAcentral.
GCCCCAGACUCCUACGGGAGGCAGCAGUGGGGGAUAUUGGACAAUGGGGGGAACCCUGAUCCAGCGACGCCGCGUGAGUGAAGAAGUAUCUCGGUCUAUAAAGCUCUAUCAGCAGGGAAGAAAGAAAUGACGGUACCUGAGUAAGAAGCCCCGGCUAACUACGUGCCAGCAGCCGCGGUAAUACGUAGGGGGCAAGCGUUAUCCGGAAUUACUGGGUGUAAAGGGAGCGUAGACGGUGAAGUAAGUCUGGAGUGAAAGGCGGGGGCCCAACCCCCGGACUGCUCUGGAAACUGUGUAGCUAGAGUGCUGGAGAGGCAAGCGGAAUUCCUAGUGUAGCGGUGAAAUGCGUAGAUAUUAGGAAGAACACCAGUGGCGAAGGCGGCUUGCUGGACAGUAACUGACGUUGAGGCUCGAAAGCGUGGGGAGCAAACAGGAUUAGAUACCCGAGUAG